GACGAACGCUGGCGGCGUGCUUAACACAUGCAAGUCGAACGGAAAGGCCCUGCUUUUGUGGGGUGCUCGAGUGGCGAACGGGUGAGUAACACGUGAGUAACCUGCCCUUGACUUUGGGAUAACUUCAGGAAACUGGGGCUAAUACCGGAUAGGAGCUCCUGCUGCAUGGUGGGGGUUGGAAAGUUUCGGCGGUUGGGGAUGGACUCGCGGCUUAUCAGCUUGUUGGUGGGGUAGUGGCUUACCAAGGCUUUGACGGGUAGCCGGCCUGAGAGGGUGACCGGCCACAUUGGGACUGAGAUACGGCCCAGACUCCUACGGGAGGGAGCAGUGGGGAAUAUUGCACAAUGGGCGGAAGCCGAAUGCAGCAACGCCGCGUGCGGGAUGACGGCCUUCGGGUUGUAAACCGCUUUCGCCUGUGACGAAGCGUGAGUGACGGUAAUGGGUAAAGAAGCACCGGCUAACUACGUG
Molecule: ribosomal RNA, 468 nt
Filed under: uncultured bacterium
Lineage: Bacteria
Description: partial 16S ribosomal RNA
Rfam family: Bacterial small subunit ribosomal RNA
Source: RNAcentral